Vespa mandarinia (Asian giant hornet) is the source of this 2989-nucleotide long non-coding RNA. RefSeq lists it as uncharacterized. The record is from RefSeq and is a predicted model, not a curated record. NCBI's taxonomy places the organism in Eukaryota, Metazoa, Arthropoda, Insecta, Hymenoptera, Vespidae.
UUUGUUUCUUUUUUAUCGUUUAUCGCCUCUCAAACUUUUAAAUAAGUUUCCAAAAUUAUUUACGUUAACUUCAUUUCGUCAAGUUCAUUUUCCAGUUUUUCAUUAAUUUAUUUCAUUGACUUUGAUUCAUCUUAGUGAUUCAAGAUGCAUUUGAAACGUUGCGUACUCAUGCAUUGUUUGUGCGAUUAACGUAGGUUUCCUUCUAUUGCUAUGAUAUUUUUGCACUCUGUCAUCUAUGCAUAGACACAACAUAUAUGUUGACAUAUAUUUCAUGUUAAAUUGAAAAUUUAUCGAUCCAUUGAUGUCUUUUGCAACGAAUCGUAUUUAUUACUAAUCGAGAACUCGUUAUUUGUCAUCUAAUUAUUAAUUUAUCAUUGACGAUAGAUAUUUCGAUUAAGCAUUCCGUAAACUUAUUUAUUAACCUUUCUCGAACUAUAUAAAAAACCUAAAAAUUUCAAUAAUCAGAACACAAAAUUAGGAUAGAUCUAGGCGAAAUAAAAAACUAUUAUUUUCAACGUUACGCAGUCAAGAGCGACGGCGUAGGUGUUCUUUUGACUUUUUAGUCGGGUGGUAUUGCGUUAUCGAUCGUCCAGCACAGAUAUAGCUAUAGGAGAGCGUGUACUUCGCGUUCUCAGCUUGUGGUGGUACGGUAAUAAUCGUGAGGUCUCUUCGAAAAGGUGUUCAACGCUUGGGUCUGACUUCCGUGGGUUGCGCCGGUGCAUGUAUUUCAUGCCAGGUUAUGCAACUACUGCAUUUGCAAGAGAGAAAGAGAACUAGUAUGAGAGUUAGAAAGACAGAGAAAGAGAGAGAGAGAGAGAAAGAGAGAGAGAGAGAAAGAGACAGAGAGAGAGUUAGAAAAAGAGACAGAGAAAGAGAGAGAGACUCGUAUUUAAAUUUAGACAGUGCAACGGCUGUUUCAACAGUCGGUACGGCUACUCUGUGCUCUUGGUGUGACAUCGUUGCCUUUAUACGAGACAUAUUCUUUUCUUCGUUUCACAAUUUCCCUGUUUCCCUCUCCGUCUUGGAAAAAUCCGACCGUGAAAUAUUUCCCUUCUAUGGAGAACGGAAAACGACAUAACGAUCGAGGUCGCCGCUGUUGCUCGAUUGGUAGAAUUUACUUGAAAAUUACGUGUAUCGCGUUACGAUGCUCACUAGAAAACUAGAACUUAGUAACUCGGGAGUAAGAGAGAGAGAGAGAGAGGGAGAGAGAGAGAGAGAGAGAUUGAAGAUAGAACAUUUUUGCGAGCUUCAAUGAUUUUUCGAUGAGGUAACGUAGUGUAAAGAAUCAAUAAAUCCGAUCGAUAAAUCGAAAGAAAUGUGUUCAAGAGAGGGAGAACGAGAGGGAGAAAGAGAGAGAAAGAGAGGGAGAGAGAGAGAGAGAGAGAGAAAGAAAGAAAGAGAGACACUUCGUCGUUGAAUUCUGACCCAAUUCCUAUAUGCCGUCGUUUGCUUCAACGCAUACACAUACAUACGUGUACACGUACAAAUGCUUAGAGAGUGUGUCUAGCAGAAGUUUAAGCUCAGCUAUUUUCAACCGCUCCGUCAAAAAUAGAGAGCUGCAUACUAUACCGAGAGAGAGAGAUAGAGAGAAAUGGCAGGUCUCGUUAUAUGAGCCAUCUUAAUUUUCGUCCCGUCGUCCUAUGGAAUAUUAAAUAUCCGUCGGUUUAUUUAAAGAAAAGCUUUAAUAUCGAUAAGCUAAAAAAUCGUUCACGGAAUGGAACGAACACAACUGGGUAAUGUGCGACCUAUUAAACAAAGAGAAAGAGAGAGAGAAAGAGAGAGAGAGAGAGAGAAAGAGAGAGUGUGAGAGAGAGGGAGAAAGAGAGAGAGAGACAGAGAGAGAGAGAGAGAGAAGGAGAAUGUUUUAACAAAGCAAAGAAAUGGCGGCGAGCUUGAAGUCCGAUAAUUCAUCGUUUGUCAUUCACCUUGGAAGAGCGAAUCGGGACACGUGCAGUAGGCCGCUCGGCUAAGGCCUCCAGCGCAUGAUUGAUCUGACAUAAUAUCUACUAUAAUCACAUGCCGGUUGCCUAAACGCCUUCGGGGAGAGAUAAUACGCUGGGCGAGAAUAACUGAUGCGUUGGUAAACCAAACGAGGAAAAUUGAUAAGCGAGCGUUAACUCGGAGUACUUCAUCGCCCGUACGAGUUUGAUCAAUUUUAUUUUUUAUUUAGCUGGUAGGCGUGAACAUGCAUUGGAUGUACCUAAAGGCUGUUCUUUUGACUUGUGAAAAAAAAAGAUAAAAAGGACUACUUCGAUUAAAGAUGAUAAUUUAGUUCAAUGCGUUCCGUAUCUAUCUAUAUAUAUACAUAUGUAUAUACAUAUAAUGGGGAAAUAUUUUUUGAGAAUUUUUUUUUUAUUGGUUUAUAAAUAAUUAUUAUAUCCUGUUAAAAAUUUGGAAGAGAACGUUAGAGAACGAUAACAUUUUAUUCUUAUCUAGGACCCUGAUCACAAUAUUAACGGGAUAGAAAGUAUUGAUUUUUUCCUAUUAUUAUUAUUAUUAUAAAGAUAAGAACGUGACCUUUGUACGCCGUUAUUAUGUAGAUUUUAUUCGAUUUUUAAGUCACAGAUUGACGCGAUAAAUCAUUUAACACGGGAACGCGACGAAAUUUAUUUAUGCCUUCUGCUCUAGGUGCGGCGAGUCGUGAAAAACAUCUUCGUAUCAUAUGUUACAUGCUCGACAAAGAUGUUAAUCGUGUCGCGUCAAUUAAUAGUAAUUCGUCCUUGAGCGGAAGCACUAAUAAUCUAAUAUCGAUAUCGUUUAUCAGUUGAUACGGUCGUUGGUUUUUUUUUUAUUUUCUUUAACCCUUUGUUCUUUAAUUUAUUUUCCUAGUCUCUUCUCGAGCAGCUUUGAUUUGAUUUUUUCUAUUUUUAAUAUGUCAUGUACGCACACAUACGCACACACAUACGCACACACAUACACACACACAUACACACACACACAGGUACAUAUAUACUUUGAAAGUAAUUUUUAAAUAAAGUUUUCCUACUGA